RNAcentral lists this transfer RNA (74 nucleotides) under Phrynosoma platyrhinos (Desert horned lizard). RNAcentral's name for it is "tRNA-OTHER". The stretch from base 11 to 74 matches the Rfam family "tRNA". From Rfam's summary of the family: Transfer RNA (tRNA) molecules are approximately 80 nucleotides in length. Their secondary structure includes four short double-helical elements and three loops (D, anti-codon, and T loops). Further hydrogen bonds mediate the characteristic L-shaped molecular structure. tRNAs have two regions of fundamental functional importance: the anti-codon, which is responsible for specific mRNA codon recognition, and the 3' end, to which the tRNAs corresponding amino acid is attached (by aminoacyl-tRNA synthetases). tRNAs cope with the degeneracy of the genetic code in two manners: having more than one tRNA (with a specific anti-codon) for a particular amino acid; and 'wobble' base-pairing, i.e. permitting non-standard base-pairing at the 3rd anti-codon position. Lineage: Eukaryota; Metazoa; Chordata; Lepidosauria; Squamata; Phrynosomatidae. The record is from RNAcentral.
GAAUCAGUGUGGCGUAGUGGCUUGAGUGUUGGACUGCGACUACAGAGACCAGGGUUCGAAUCCCUGCUGGGCCA